AUACGGAGGAUCCGAGCGUUAUCCGGAUUUAUUGGGUUUAAAGGGUGCGCAGGCGGCCAUUUAAGUCAGCGGUUAAAUCGUGGGGCUCAACCCCAUUCUGCCGUUGAUACUGGGUGGCUUGAUUGCGGUCGAGGUUGGCGGAAUUCGUUGUGUAGCGGUGAAAUGCAUAGAUAUGACGAGGAACACCGAUUGCGUAGGCAGCUGACCAGAUCGCAAAUGACGCUCAUGCACGAAAGUGCGGGGAUCGAACAGGAUUAGAUACCCUGGUAGUCCGCACAGUAAACGAUGAAUACUUGUUUUCGGCGAUAUAAUGUCGGAGGCAAAGCGAAAGCGAUAAGUAUUCCACCUGGGGAGUACGCCGGCAACGGUGAAACUCAAAUGAAUUGACGGGG
Molecule: ribosomal RNA, 392 nt
Filed under: uncultured bacterium
Lineage: Bacteria
Description: partial 16S ribosomal RNA
Rfam family: Bacterial small subunit ribosomal RNA
Source: RNAcentral